GUCUUCAUAGUCAGGUCACAUCCUGUGCUGGUGUCAGCCUCACACAGGUCACAAAACAGACAUGAGGGGCCCCACUCAGCUCCUGGGGUUGCUGCUGCUCUGGCUUACAGGUGUCAGAUGUGACAUCCAGAUGACCCAGGCUCCAGCCUUUCUAUCUGCAUCUCUGGGGGACAGUGUCACCAUCACAUGCUUGGCAAGUCAGGACAUUGGUUGGGGUUUAGCAUGGCAUCAGCAGAAACCAGGGAAACCUCCUAAGCUCCUGAUCUAUGCUGGAGAUACUUUGGCAGAUGGGGUCCCAUCGAGGUUCAGUGGCAGUAGAUCUGGCACACAGUUUUCUCUCAAGAUCAGUAGUCUACAGCCUGAAGAUGUGGCAGAUUAUUUCUGUCUGCAGGAUUACAGUACCCCUCCCACAGUGAUACAAGCCAUAACAUAA
Non-coding RNA from Peromyscus leucopus (white-footed mouse), 433 nucleotides. NCBI's taxonomy places the organism in Eukaryota, Metazoa, Chordata, Mammalia, Rodentia, Cricetidae. The record is from the annotation of a RefSeq genome assembly.